UCUCUAUCUCUCACCUGACAUAUCUUUAGCAACCAACCAAUCCUUGUAUCUUGUAUUCAAUACUCAUCCCUCCUCUCUCACUAUAAAUAUACACCCCUGCCCUCAUCACUCCUCACAACUUCUCUUCACUAGCUAUAUCUCUCUCUCUUUUCUUUCUUUUUCUGCCAGUGUAUUUAGAUGGCUUUGUUUUGUGUCAUGAACUAGAUCUGGCAGCUGGUUGGCUACUCUGAGCAUCCCAUUAUCCCACUCCUUUAGCGGAUGUUGUUUGUUUGCCGAUCUGCACUGGAUCUCUCUCUCUCUCUCUCUCUCUCUCUCUCUCUCUCCCUCCUCUCUCCCUCUCCCUCUCCCUCCCCCUCCCUCUCUCCCCUUCUCUCCCUCUCUCAUCACUUGAGUUAUGACAUUUGUCCUUAACAUAUUCUCAUAUAAUGUAAACAUGUGGAUCAAAUAUUGUCUUAGUAACCACAAAAUAUCCUUUAUACAAGAAAGAGCUGAUUGUUUGCCACCAAUAAUAUCAUGUGUUGUCUGUCAUCUGUUGUUUCUAUAUGCUCUUUUGUUUUGGACCAAAUAUUUCUUAGAUUUGAUGGUACUCUAUCAGGAUCUUUUAUCAGUAUUCACAUUUGUACCAUUUUGGCUGUUUCAGUAUUUGGGGAUUUCUAUUUUCAAAUUCUUUCCGAUUGUUAAUUUACAGAGUUUUCUUUGACAAGAAUACAUAUAUACUUGGGAUCAUUUAUCGGCCUUUAGGGUUUUGUUUCAUAUUUUGAACAGCUCAUAAGUCAUAAGAUUUGAUCGUGUAAGCCAGCUUUGCUACCAGAUAUAUCUGUAUUUCUUAUGUAUGGUCCUUAUUAACCUGCAGGGUCCAUUGUUUUAAGAAGCGCUUUACUGGGAUUGCUCGUUGAAAUAAAAAGAGGAAAAUUGUAUAUGUAAAAUCUGUAUUUUUGUGCGCACUGCAUGCGCUUGUGAUUGUAAAGCUGGACGAAGGAUUCUAAUAAAACUGUGAUCUGUUUUGUAUAA
Long non-coding RNA from Daucus carota subsp. sativus, 1011 nucleotides. RefSeq lists it as uncharacterized. NCBI's taxonomy places the organism in Eukaryota, Viridiplantae, Streptophyta, Magnoliopsida, Apiales, Apiaceae. The record is from RefSeq and is a predicted model, not a curated record. The transcript is spliced from 2 exons.